GAUGAACGCUGGCGGCGUGCCUAAUACAUGCAAGUCGAGCGAACAGACGAGGAGCUUGCUCCUCUGACGUUAGCGUCGGACGGGUGAGUAACACGUGGAUAACCUACCUAUAAGACUGGGAUAACUUCGUGAAACCGGUGCUAAUACCGGAUAAUAUAUUGAACCGCAUGGUUCAAUAGUGAAAGACGGUUUUGCUUUCACUUAUCGCUGGAUCCGCUCCGCAUUAGCUAGUUGGUCAGGUAACGGCUUACCAAGGCAACGAUGCGUAGCCGACCUGAGAGGGUGAUCGGCCACACUGGAACUGAGACACGGUCCAGACUCCUACGGGAGGCAGCAGUAGGGAAUAUUCCGCAAUGGGCGAAAGCCUGACGGAGCAACGCCGCGUGAGUGAUGAAGGUCUUCGGAUCGUAAAACUCUGUUAUUAGGGAAGAACAAAUGUGUAAGUAACUAUGCACGUAUUGACGGUACCUAAUCAGAAAGCAACGGCUAACUACGUG
Molecule: ribosomal RNA, 497 nt
Filed under: uncultured bacterium
Lineage: Bacteria
Description: partial 16S ribosomal RNA
Rfam family: Bacterial small subunit ribosomal RNA
Source: RNAcentral